RNAcentral lists this ribosomal RNA (428 nucleotides) under uncultured bacterium. RNAcentral describes it as "partial 16S ribosomal RNA". It matches the Rfam family "Bacterial small subunit ribosomal RNA", at positions 354 to 796 of the family's 1533-position model. The record is from RNAcentral.
GUAGGGAAUAUUGGACAAUGGGGGCAACCCUGAUCCAGCGACGCCGCGUGAGUGAUGAAGGCCUUCGGGUCGUAAAGCUCUGUUGCAGGGGAAGAACACAAUGACGGUACCCUGCUAGAAAGGAUCGGCUAACUUCGUGCCAGCAGCCGCGGUAAGACGAGGGAUCCUAGCGUUGCUCGGAAUCAUUGGGCGUAAAGAGGGCGUAGGUGGCUUGGUAAGUCAGGUGUGAAAGCCCAGGGCUCAACCCUGGAAGUGCAUUUGAUACUGCUGAGCUUGAGUGUCGGAGAGGUUACCGGAAUACCUGGUGUAGUGGUGAAAUACGUAGAUAUCAGGUGGAACACCGGAGGCGAAGGCGGGUAACUGGACGAACACUGACACUGAGGCCCGAAAGCGUGGGGAUCAAACAGGAUUAGAAACCCCAGUAGUCC